GGAUUAGAUACCCGGGUAGUCCACGCCGUAAACGAUGUCAACUAGCCGUCGGGAACCUUAGUGUUCUUGGUGGCGCAGCUAACGCGAUAAGUUGACCGCCUGGGGAGUACGGUCGCAAGAUUAAAACUCAAAUGAAUUGACGGGGGCCCGCACAAGCGGUGGAGCAUGUGGUUUAAUUCGACGCAACGCGAAGAACCUUACCAGGUCUUGACAUCCAGAGAAGUCGCUAGAGAUAGCUUUGUGCCUUCGGGAACUCUGAGACAGGUGCUGCAUGGCUGUCGUCAGCUCGUGUCGUGAGAUGUUGGGUUAAGUCCCGUAACGAGCGCAACCCUUAUCCUUAUUUGCCAGCGGGUUAUGCCGGGAACUUUAAGGAGACUGCCGGUGACAAACCGGA
Molecule: ribosomal RNA, 394 nt
Filed under: uncultured bacterium
Lineage: Bacteria
Description: bacterial SSU rRNA
Rfam family: Bacterial small subunit ribosomal RNA
Source: RNAcentral